This is a long non-coding RNA of Pan troglodytes (chimpanzee), 228 nucleotides long. RefSeq lists it as uncharacterized. Lineage: Eukaryota; Metazoa; Chordata; Mammalia; Primates; Hominidae. The record is from RefSeq and is a predicted model, not a curated record. The transcript has 3 exons.
CACGGCUCCAUCUCCGAACCCCGCACUCACAACUGUGAACUCAACCCACGAAAUUGCGACUGCAGACCAACUUCGUCCUUUCCAAGGAACCAAGACUCCUUGGAUAAGUGGCUGAUUCCAGAGGUAUAGCAGAUAAAGUAUAAGGUCUUCAGAAUGAGAGAAGAUAUGCCAAAGACUUUUUAUCUAUACCUGUUCCUGUUAUGAUGAUGAAAUCCUGGACUACUAGAC